RNAcentral lists this ribosomal RNA (502 nucleotides) under uncultured bacterium. Its description in RNAcentral is "bacterial SSU rRNA". It matches the Rfam family "Bacterial small subunit ribosomal RNA", at positions 8 to 507 of the family's 1533-position model. The record is from RNAcentral.
AGAGUUUGAUCCUGGCUCAGAUUGAACGCUGGCGGAAUGCUUACACAUGCAAGUCGAACGGCAGGCACGGGGCAACCUGGUGGCGAGUGGCGAACGGGUGAGUAAUACAUCGGAACGUGCCCAAUCGUGGGGGAUAACGUAGCGAAAGUUACGCUAAUACCGCAUACGAUCUACGGAUGAAAGCGGGGGAUCGCAAGACCUCGCGCGAAUGGAGCGGCCGAUGUCAGAUUAGGUAGUUGGUGGGGUAAAGGCUCACCAAGCCGACGAUCUGUAGCUGGUCUGAGAGGACGACCAGCCACACUGGGACUGAGACACGGCCCAGACUCCUACGGGAGGCAGCAGUGGGGAAUUUUGGACAAUGGGCGCAAGCCUGAUCCAGCCAUUCCGCGUGCAGGAUGAAGGCCUUCGGGUUGUAAACUGCUUUUGUACGGAACGAAACGGUUCUCUCUAAUACAGGGGGCUAGUGACGGUACCGUAAGAAUAAGCACCGGCUAACUACGUG